CGGAGGAUCCAAGCGUUAUCCGGAAUCAUUGGGUUUAAAGGGUCCGUAGGCGGUCAGAUAAGUCAGUGGUGAAAGCCCAUCGCUCAACGGUGGAACGGCCAUUGAUACUGUCUGACUUGAAUUAUUAGGAAGUAACUAGAAUAUGUAGUGUAGCGGUGAAAUGCUUAGAGAUUACAUGGAAUACCAAUUGCGAAGGCAGGUUACUACUAAUAUAUUGACGCUGAUGGACGAAAGCGUGGGUAGCGAACAGGAUU
RNAcentral lists this ribosomal RNA (254 nucleotides) under uncultured bacterium. Its description in RNAcentral is "partial 16S ribosomal RNA". It matches the Rfam family "Bacterial small subunit ribosomal RNA", at positions 526 to 779 of the family's 1533-position model. The record is from RNAcentral.